This 252-nucleotide unclassified non-coding RNA is filed under the name air metagenome. RNAcentral's name for it is "partial contains small subunit ribosomal RNA, internal transcribed spacer 1, and 5.8S ribosomal RNA". The stretch from base 1 to 46 matches the Rfam family "Eukaryotic small subunit ribosomal RNA", at positions 1786 to 1831 of the family's 1831-position model. The record is from RNAcentral.
AAGUCGUAACAAGGUUUCCGUAGGUGAACCUGCGGAAGGAUCAUUAUUGAACCUCACAGGAGAAAGGUUGUGCUGGCCUCUCGAGGCAUGUGCACGCUUUGAUCCAAUUAUUACACCCCUGUGCACACAUUGUAGGAGAAGUGGAUAACACUUCUUCUAUGUUUCACACACCCCAUUGUAUGUAUGAAGACUGUCCAUUAUUCGUAUGAAUAAAAAAUAAUACAACUUUCAACAACGGAUCUCUUGGCUCUC